ACUCAAAUGAAUUGACGGGGGCCCGCACAAGCAGCGGAGCAUGGGGUUUAAUUCGACGCGACGCGAAGAACCUUACCUGGACUUGACAUGUCGGUGACCGCCGUGGAAACACGGCUUCCCUUCGGGGCACCGUCACAGGUGGUGCAUGGCUGUCGUCAGCUCGUGUCGUGAGAUGUUGGGUUAAGUCCCGCAACGAGCGCAACCCCCGUCGCAUGUUGCCAGCAUUAAGUUGGGGACUCAUGUGAGACUGCCGGUGACAAACCGGAGGAAGGUGGGGAUGAGGUCAAGUCAUCAUGCCCCUUAUGUCCAGGGCUACACCCGUGCUACAUUGGCACGUACAAAAGGCAGCGAUACCGCGAGGUGGAGCGAAUCCUUUAAAGCGUGUCUCGGUUCGGAUUGCAGGCUGAAACUCGCCUGCAUGAAGGUGGAGUUGCUAGUAAUCGUGGAUCAGCAUUGCCACGGUGAAUACGUUCUCGGGCCUUGUACACACCGCCCGU
Molecule: ribosomal RNA, 497 nt
Filed under: uncultured bacterium
Lineage: Bacteria
Description: partial 16S ribosomal RNA
Rfam family: Bacterial small subunit ribosomal RNA
Source: RNAcentral